UGUGUUCUCUAAUGAAAAACGCACAAGAUGCGCGAUUGCAAACAAGUAAUCGAGCCGCACAAUAAACACAUCAGCACGAUAAGGUUUAUAUGCAGUAUAGAUGGACGAUUUAGUAACAAAAGUUACUAAAAGCUGAUUGGCUCUUACUUGUUCAAGCUUACCAACUCGAGAUUGGCGCCAACUUGCAAGAUAGUCCUAUGUCAAGUUGUAAAAUCAGUAAACAAACAUAAUGUCAAGAUAUAAGGAAGGUUUCUAACUUUCUCUUGGUAAAUAUUUUCAAAGUUAAGUGUAAUGUUUAAGUGUAAUUGUUAAAUAAAUUAAAAAAAUCAGUAAAAAACAUUCAUUUAAGUAAACUUAAAUUGUAGUGGUGAUUUUUCGUGAUUGCAUGAAGAAGGCUCGGACAAAGAAAAGGAUCAUGCUGAAAGAUAUCACACUGGGGUGCCAAAGGGACAAAGGGACAAAGGGACAAAGGGACCUGAAAUGCUUUUUUCACAAAACGAAAAGUAAAUAGGCAGAGAAAAUGAGAUAAACUUACCAUUAGAAAAUGAGACACACAUUCAUUUUAUGAAAGAAGUGAUAACAGUGGCAAGCGACCAGCAGAGGAGGGAACAAAUGGCCAGAAGGCGGAGCAUCAUGGCACACGCUGAUAAUAACAAAUAGUCUGAAAUAUACUUAUACGUUCUCAUCUCUUUCGGAGUAAUCCAGCUGUGAAGGGACAAAAAAAACAGCUGAAUUGUAGUCGACGUGCAGAUAUAUGGCGUAGACAGAGUGAAAAAUGGUAGAAGCUAUAAAGAAUAUGAAGAAAUAAGGAAAUAUUUUAAUAGAAAAUGUGCCAAACGAGUCAACGCAAUUUUUAAAAGCUUUGUGCACAAAUUACAAACCUCCGAAUAAGCCUCUUGUGGAUCAAGACGCGUUAAAUGGCUACACAGUGCAGCAAAUUGAUAAGGCCAAUCUUGAGGAUUUUAUUUGUCUGUUUCUAAAUAAUUCCGAGCGACUCGUGGAGUUCCUGGAGCACUUAGUUAAAUCGGAUACAAAAUGGAAUACGCUUGUGUACAACACAUUAGUUGAACAUUAUUUGCACGUCUGGUCGGCUCUGAACAGUGACGUGGCUAAGGUGCAAUAUGAC
Long non-coding RNA from Pseudomyrmex gracilis, 1126 nucleotides. RefSeq lists it as uncharacterized. NCBI's taxonomy places the organism in Eukaryota, Metazoa, Arthropoda, Insecta, Hymenoptera, Formicidae. The transcript has 8 exons. The record is from RefSeq and is a predicted model, not a curated record.